This is a non-coding RNA of Schistocerca gregaria, 75 nucleotides long. NCBI's taxonomy places the organism in Eukaryota, Metazoa, Arthropoda, Insecta, Orthoptera, Acrididae. The record is from the annotation of a RefSeq genome assembly.
UGCUUGGGUAGCUCAGAUGGUAAAGCACUUGCCUCCGAAGAGCAAGGGUCCCGAGUUCGAGUCUCGGUCCGGCAA